Taeniopygia guttata (zebra finch) is the source of this 1784-nucleotide non-coding RNA. NCBI's taxonomy places the organism in Eukaryota, Metazoa, Chordata, Aves, Passeriformes, Estrildidae. The record is from RefSeq and is a predicted model, not a curated record.
UGGUUUUUUUUUUUUUUUCAGAGCACAAACUGAGCUCCAUUUCCUUCCUACUCAUCUUUCAAACCUCCACAGGUUCUUCCCACCGAGCUUUGCUGCGAGACUCCCUCUUCAAUCCAUCACAAUUCCCGGGGUUUAACAAUGGGAUGAGAGACAGAUCCAGGCAGGAAAAACCCCGGGCCAGAGCGUUCUGUGUCUCUGCAGCUGCAGCCAACGGAAAGACAAAUCACCGCUUUUAAUCCCAUUUUCCAGCUCCCACCGCAGAGGGGACCAGCCCCAGGAUGCAUCCACAGCCUCUGGAGCCUCCUGCGUUUUCAGGAAUCUGGGAAAAAAAAAGCCAAACCCACCCAGGCCUUCAAACCAACUCAAUGGCACUUGGGGGGGAAAAAAGCUCACUCGGAAACCCCCUGUCUCUGCAUGACCCCCGGGCGCUGAAUGAGGAACCUCUCAAUUAAAAAUUUCCCAUUGAGGCCGCCUGAAUGAGCCCUCGCCGGGGAAUUCUGCGCGCCUCAAUGGCCCGGGCCCUCAGCAAACAUUACGGAUUUCCCACAAUAUUUGUACACCUUCCUUUGUGGGCAUUUUUCCCUCCGCUGGAGCAGAAACCUUUAACACAUCCGCUCCCGGUGCUCCUUAGGGGCCGGCUCGGGGACAGCGGCUGGCGGGGCCACCACCGGGGCCACCACCGGGGCCACCACCGGGGCCACCCCGCGGGGCACAGCAGCCGCUCCCUGCUUGGAUUAUCCAGGAAUUCCAUGGAAAAACGCGGGGAUGGAGCUCUGCGACACCCCACGGCAAAACGCCGGGCUCGGGGACGCCUUUGGUGGCACUUUGGUGGCACUUUGGUGGCACUUUGAUGGCCCCAGGGAAAGCAGAGCCGCCACAAAGGGGACUCGAGCUGGGGACAAAAAAAAAGCCCCGCGACGCUUCAGGGCCCGGCUGACAGCUGUGAUUGUCGCGGCCUCAUUAAGCAUGCUAAUUAGCGCUGGCGGGGGUGGGCUCUGCGUGCUUCAGUCGGGAUUCAUCCCGGGAAAGGCGGAUAAAAGGCGGGAGGAGGGAGUGCGGGAAUGCGGCGUGCGGGGGGAGCGUCCACGGGACUCAUCCCGGGGAUCCAGGUGGGACAGGAGGCACGGAGGAGGGAGCUGAGGAUGCUCGGGGGUUGUUCCCAUCCUGGAGGUGAAACCCAGGGGUUAUUCCCAUCCUAGGAGGGAAAUCCAAGGCUAUUCCCAUCCUAGGAGGGAAAUAAUGGGAUUAUUCCCAUCCUAGGAGGGAAACCCAGGGGUUCUAACCCUGCUUUGCAGCCUCAGACUGGGCUGGAUGGGAAUAACUUCACGAUUCCCACCCCUAGGUAGGAACAACCCCUGGAUUUCUGCUCCAGGGUGGGAAGAACCCUGGAUGGACACUUUCCUUCCCUGGCAGUGUCCAAGGCCAGCCUUGGAGCAGCCUGGGACGGUGGCAGGGCAGGGAGGGGACAAGGGGAUGCUCGAGGUCCCUUCCAACCCCUCCCACCCCUUUUCCCGGGCACAGCUGGGACGGAGGAGCCGAACAGGAGCCUGGGGAUGGAAGCCAAGCACAGUUCCAGCCGGGAAUCCCUCCCCAGCAGCUUCCCGGGGCCGUGACCCCCUCAGGGAGUCCGACAGUAGCGCCUCUCCGGCUCCUGGCCCCUCCCUGGGAGCCAUCCAUGUGGAAUUCCUGCUCCAUGUGCUCUGCAGACGGCUGCGGCACGUGGAGGGGAAGAUUCCAAGGGCAAGGGACCCAAAUGAAGGCAUAAAUAAAUUCAAUUUAACGCC